UCCGGUUUGGCACCGGCAGUCUCUCCAGAGUCCCCGGCAUUAUCCGCUGGCAACUGGAGACGGGGGUUGCGCUCGUUGCGGGACUUAACCCAACAUCUCACGACACGAGCUGACGACAGCCAUGCAGCACCUGUGACCGGGUCCCGAAGGAGGCCCCCUGUUUCCAAGGGGUUUCCCGGCCAUGUCAAGCCUAGGUAAGGUUCUUCGCGUUGCGUCGAAUUAAACCACAUGCUCCGCUGCUUGUGCGGGUCCCCGUCAAUUCCUUUGAGUUUUAACCUUGCGGCCGUACUCCCCAGGUGGAAUACUUAACGCUUUCGCUUGGACGCAUAGCACCAAUGUGCCAUACAUCGAGUAUUCAUCGUUUAGGGCGUGGACUAC
Molecule: unclassified non-coding RNA, 378 nt
Filed under: uncultured bacterium
Lineage: Bacteria
Description: contains 16S-23S intergenic spacer region
Source: RNAcentral